UGGUCUAUGUGUCAUUUUUAUGCCAUUACCAUACAGUUUUGAUUACAGCUUUGAAAUAUAGUUUGAAAUCAGGAAGUGUGAUGGCUCCAGUUUCAUUCCUCUUUCUCAGGAUUGCUUUUGGCUCUUUUGGGGUCUUUUGUAUCCCAAACAUAUUCUAGGAUUUUUUUUCUAUUUCUAUUAAAAAAUACCAUUGGAAUCUUGAUAAGGAUUGCAUUGUAUCUACAGAUUUCUUGAGGUAGUAUGGACAUUUUAAUAAUUUGAAUUCUUCCAAUCCAUGAACACAGGAUAUCUUUCCAUAUGUGUCUUCAAUUUAUUUCAUCAGUGUCUUAUAGUUUUCAUUGUACAGAUUUUUCAUCUUCGAGUUAACUUUAUUCCUAGGUAUUUCAUUGUUUUGGAUGCUAUUGUGAAUGGGAUUGUUUUCUUUAUUUUUCAGUUAGUUCUUUGUUAGGGAACAUAAAUACAACUGAUGUUUGUAUGUUGGUUUUCUUUCCUGCAACUUUAAUGAAUUUAUUAGUUCUAACAGUGUUUCAGUGGAGUCUCUGGGGCUUUCUACAUACUCUAGUUUUGUUCAAAACGGCCCAUUUUAAUGAUGUGGAAACUUAGGCUCAGAGUAGUUAAAUAAGGGUCACAGGGUCACAGCUAGAACUCGUGGUCUUAACUCAGUUCCAAUUCUGCCUAUCUCCAAAGUCUUCCUAGCAUAAGAUUCUGCCUCUACUAGUCAGUCCUUGAAACAGUACAAAGGACUAGAUGGUACAACACCUCCUUUCAAGAAGAAACAAAAAAGAACGUUCAGAUUAUGCACCUGAGCACCUGUAGCUUCAUUCCCAUCCCAGGUGCUCUCCUACAACCUGAGUGUAUAUGUGAUAGAUGGUCAUCUCUAUAGAGAUUGGGGGUGACCCUGUGCACCUGUAACUGCCUCUAGGUGUUUGUGUAUUUGUGAACUUACGAUGCACAUUAUGUGCUGCCAUUGUGGCGUGUGUUGGUGUGUGUCUGUGGGAUGUGUGUAUCUGUGUGAAGUAUGUGUGGGGAGUGUGUGUGGUGUGUGGCAUGUGUUGGUAUGUGUCAGUGUAAUGCAGGAGAGUGUUUUGUGUGGUAUGUGUGGGGUGUGUGGUGUGUUUUGGCGUGUGUCUGUUGAUGUGUGGGGGGAAGGGUGUAUGGUGUAGGGUAUGUGUUGGUAUGUGUCUGUGAUGUGUGUGUGGUUGUGUGGCAUGAGCUGGUGUGUGUCUGUAUGAUGUGUGUGGGGGGAGUGUGUGUAGUAUGUAGCAUGUGUUAGUGUAUGUGUGGUGUGGGGAAGAGUGUGGUGUGUGUGUGUGUGUGUGUGUGUACAUGAGGGAGCAUGGUAUAUGUGGCGAUAUGUUGCCAGGGGGUGCACGGGUCUGCAGAGCAUGGUGAGCCAUGCGUACGUGGUGGAGGGAGGUGGGAGAUGUGUGGUGUGUGGUGUGUGAUGCAGCGUGUGCUCCAGGAGAAGAGAUCCAGCGCCUGGUCUCGGGCGUGUUUUCCAUCCUCGAGCAUCCCAGCAUCUUGCUGACACUGAUCUGGGUCUGGGAACAUCUUUCCUGAAUAAACAUGAUGUCAUUUCCAUUCCAUUCAGCCUGAGCUGGGACAGCUGCUGUCAGCAUCACUGAGGGAAAUGCCACCUCGGCCCUGACAGCUGCCACUUGGCACACUUUGUAGAGAGCUUCUCGGGGAAGAAAAAAACCAGCCAGUCAUGCAGAUGCUAUUUAAAGUAUGUUGCAUCUUGAUGAGAAAUGUAGAGGAAGCUAAAGUGUGCUGGAGGGAUGGCUCAGGACCCUGGGCUAGAAGCGAGGGAGUCUUGGGUGCCUAUGGCAUAGGCUCCAUCGGUGUAUCUGGAGCUAAGUCUAGCCACCUCCCAUUUUACAGAUAAGGAAAUGGAGGCCUAGAAAGGGGAAGGCACUUGCCUGAGAUCGGAGAGCAUGUCAGAGUCACAGAACGUGAGAGCUAGAAGUUAUUGUCCAAAUUCUUAUAUCUAACUCCCACACAGUACCCAUGGGUAAAUGUGCGCCCAGAAGGAAGAAGUAGUUUGCCCAAAGUUCGUACAGCAAAUCAAUGGCAGAACUGAGGCUAGAACCCAGUUCCCAGGCAUGCGUAUUUGACCUCUGACUUGAACACACUCAUAGUCUCUGUCUUGCUUACAGUAGGAGCUAAACAAAUAUUUGUCAAAUGAGAUUUGCAUUGCUUUGAAUGGCUUAGAAAUGCAUUAAAUUAUUCUUUUCUUGUCCCUGCUUUUCACAGCCAGGAAUAUCAUGUGCCUGCCUUAUCUAGCCGCUCUGGAGCUUCCAGCAUCCUGGAAUUAGUAUCUACUGCAGCAGAAAAUAUGUAAGACACUCCUGGUCAGGCUGGGGACUUCACACUCUUUUAAGUGGGUGCCUUGAGUGUUCAGCAAACCCAGGUUUGAGUCUGACAUUUCCCCACUUCUCCUCCCUGCCCAAACUCCUUACAGUGACUUUCAAGGUUUUUCACCACCUGACCUCUUUCCACCUUCCCAUGCUCAUCACCAUCUCUUCCCAUUAACCAGUGAUCCUGUAAUUUCUCAUUCUCCCUGAGUAAGCUAUGUUCUUUCACACUUCCAUAUGUUUUUGCACAUGCUUCUGUCUUUCUCUGCCUGUCAAACUCCUACUCAUCCUUCAAGACCCUAUCCAGGAGUUCCCAUUCUGGCACAGCAGAAACAACCCUGACUAAUAUCCAUGAGGAUACGGGAUCAAUCCCUGGCCUUGAUCAGUGGGUUAAGGAUCUGGCAUUGCUGUGAGCAGUGGUGUAGGUCGCAGAUGAGGCUCAGAUCCCGUGUUGCUGUGGCUGUGGCACAGGCUGGCAGCCGUAGCUCUGAUUCAACCCCUAGCCUGUGCCACGCUUGCAGCCCCCCCAAAAGCAAAACUGUACUCUAAUAUCAUGAAACAGAGUAGCUAAACUUGGGCUCACAGCAUCUUGAACAUCCCUUGGUCAAGAAUCUUGCCACAAUGAGCUGAAUUUGAUGAUCUGAUUUCCCUGCAAGAUCAAGAGUAAUCAAGGGCGGGAAUAGAGGCUGAGCAAUGUCUAUAUCCCCAACAUCCAACUAGAGCCUGAAACAGAACAUGUUCUAAAGAUACGUUUAUUGAAUGAAUGCCCUGCACCGUGACUUGCUGAUAGGCCAUGGCGGAAACCCUGGUCCAGAAGCCCAGUCUGUCCCUGGAGAAAUGAAAGAAAGAAUGGUACCAGCAUGACACUGAAUUCCAGACCAACUUAAGAAGUCAUCCUUGAGUAAUUCAUAGAAUUCAGCCAAAUGUGUCUUUAAGAUCUUACCUCUACCCUUUCUGGGCCACCCCUCCCACUGUCUGACAACUCCACUCUCACACUCAAUCCUGCUACCUCACUGAUAUGCCUAAAGCAUCCACCAGGCUUGCUCUCUCUUGGUGGCCCAGGUCUCUAAAAUAACUUAUUUCUCCCUUAAGCUCCAGAAAAAUUCCAUUACUUUCAUGGAGACUGAUUAUCUUUUAUGUUGGGAAUUUUAUGAAGCAAUCUGACUUAUAAAAAUGUAUGAAGGAAAAGGACCUUAUUUGACUUUCUUAGAGACCUCUGAAAGAGAGAAGAAAGGAGUUGAGAAAUAUAUUAGUAAUAACAGGAUAUAACAAUAAAACAGAAUUGGAAUGAAUUCAGACAAGGAACACUUUCCCAAAAUUUACAAAAGUUUUGAAUGGCCAGAAAUGUACACAAUAGACUAUCUAUAGUUCCUCUGCUUUUUCUAUCAUUCCAUCUAACUGCUUUAGAGUACUGCUGAUACUGGCAUCCUGGUAAAAAUCAGUCUCAUCGAUAUUUAAAGUUCAGGUAAUCUUUAGAAUCUUCAAAAGUCCUUACUUUUAAUUUAUAGAAAACAUUAUCUUAUUUUUCUUUUAACUUACUAUUUCUUGGCCAAGCUUAUGGUAUGUGGAAGUCCCCUGGCCAGGGACCAAACCUGCGCCACAGCAGGUGACCCAAGAAGCUACUGCAGUGACAAUGCCAGAUCCUUA
This 4001-nucleotide long non-coding RNA is filed under the name Sus scrofa (pig). RNAcentral's name for it is "lncRNA (ENSSSCG00040003580.1)". The record is from RNAcentral. Lineage: Eukaryota; Metazoa; Chordata; Mammalia; Artiodactyla; Suidae.